GUCUACGGCCAUGCAACCCUGAACAUGUCCGAUCUCGUUUGAUCUCGGAAGCUAAGCAGGGUCUGGCCUGGUUAGUAUCUGGAUGGUACCCCACCUAGGAAGCCAGGUGCUGUAGACG
RNAcentral lists this ribosomal RNA (118 nucleotides) under Pteropus alecto (black flying fox). Lineage: Eukaryota; Metazoa; Chordata; Mammalia; Chiroptera; Pteropodidae. The record is from RNAcentral.